UCGGCCAGCCACAGCUCCAAGAAUACGCGGAGGAGGUGGCCCGGGUCGGCGUCGGCGCCGUCCGGCGCGGGCCACGGGCCCGCUUCCAAGUGCGUCUGCACGCCGGUCACCCAUGCCGGGUCCUUCAAGUGCCGCUUCCACCGCACCAACUCCCAGGGCCACGGCCAGGGCCAGGGAAGCCUCCCUUCUUCGCCCCCUUCACCGGCCGUGGCCAACGCGGUGCCGCGGGACCCGUCCUCACCGUCCUCGUCCUCCGGCACCGUUGUGACCCAGUGA
Molecule: ribosomal RNA, 276 nt
Filed under: Triticum aestivum (bread wheat)
Lineage: Eukaryota; Viridiplantae; Streptophyta; Magnoliopsida; Poales; Poaceae
Description: partial small subunit ribosomal RNA
Source: RNAcentral